GACGAACGCUGGCGGCGUGCUUAACACAUGCAAGUCGAACGGAAAGGCCCUGCUUUUGUGGGGUGCUCGAGUGGCGAACGGGUGAGUAACACGUGAGUAACCUGCCCUUGACUUUGGGAUAACUUCAGGAAACUGGGGCUAAUACCGGAUAGGAGCUCCUGCUGCAUGGUGGGGGUUGGAAAGUUUCGGCGGUUGGGGAUGGACUCGCGGCUUAUCAGCUUGUUGGUGGGGUAGUGGCUUACCAAGGCUUUGACGGGUAGCCGGCCUGGGGGGGUGACCGGCCCAAUGGGGACUGGAAUACGGCCCAACCCCCAAGGGGGGGCAGCGGGGGGGAAAAUUGCACAAUGGGGGGAAGCCUGAUGCAGCAACGCCGCGGGGGGGAUGAGGGCCUUCGGGUUGUAAACCGCUUUCCCCUGGGACGAAGCGGGGGUGACGGUAAUGGGGAAAGAAGCACCGGCUAACUACGU
This 467-nucleotide ribosomal RNA is filed under the name uncultured bacterium. Its description in RNAcentral is "partial 16S ribosomal RNA". It matches the Rfam family "Bacterial small subunit ribosomal RNA", at positions 28 to 506 of the family's 1533-position model. The record is from RNAcentral.